Molecule: non-coding RNA, 4616 nt
Organism: Rhopilema esculentum
Lineage: Eukaryota; Metazoa; Cnidaria; Scyphozoa; Rhizostomeae; Rhizostomatidae
Source: RefSeq, a predicted model, not a curated record
GACAUUGGUCUGUGGGUCAGUGGCCGAGUGAUGAUUGUUUACAAAUAGAGGAUGUCGACAGCUCUAAUGGCCAAUUUUUUGUAGGUGCUAGCUGAAAACUCAAAUUAAAUCAUGCAAUUGUAUCUUUUACUCCAGAAAACCAGUGGUUUUGAUUUUUUGAGGUGAAUCGAUUCGCAAAUCUGGUGUCCUUGGCGAACCAGACAGAGAAGAUAUGGAGUACGUCCACCCAAUUUGCUGUACGCAGAAAAUCGCCGUCUACGAGACGAAAACGAGAUUUUAUCUGGUGGCAUCAAACAAUGCACAAACACGUUUUAGGGUUUUGAAGAUAGACAGAACUGAACCAACAGAGUUGGUCCUCAUAGAUGACAAGGUGGAAUAUAACCAGAAACAAAUUCGAACACUUCUUCAAAUGAUAGAUGUUGGGAAUAGACCAAAAGCAUCAAGAUCAUAUGAUAAAGGAAUUAGUGGGCUGCAUCACAGAGGGUCAGCAUUCGGAAUAGUUGGAUUUGUCAAAUUUUUGGAAGGAUAUUACAUGAUUCUCAUUUCAAAGAGGCGAAGAGUAGCAUUGAUUGGAGGUCACACUAUUUAUAAAAUUGAUGAUACAGUUAUGAUUCCUAUUGCAAACGAACAAGCCAGAAUCAAAUUUUCAAAUCCAGAUGAAACAAGGUAUCUGAGGAUUUUUCAAAAUGUGGAUUUAUCCAGCAAUUUUUACUUCAGUUAUAGCUACGAUCCGACACACACCUUACAGUACAACCUUGCACCGAAUUUCGGCCUACCAGAGAAGUUUGUUGAAAAAGAGCCAGAAGAUGGGAUUUCGACUGACGUGGAAGCAAAAGUCUUUAUGGAUGGGUUGGAUAAGGAUCUGAUAAGAAAAUAUAGCAAGUCUGAUGAUCCCCGGAAAGAGGCGAGUCCAACUUCAAAACGAGAACUGAACACUACCGGUCAACAGGAAAGAAUGACACCAACACAACCUGAGGCUUCUCCUGUAUACGUUAGUGGGGAUGAAUGCGAGACAUCCUUUACAAAGAAAAAGGUCAAAUACAACAAAAAGCAGUAUGUCCCAUACAGAGGCCGACCGUAUGAGAAGUUCGUUUGGAACAUUCAUUUAUUGGAAAAUUUCAAGGAGCAGGUUCACCCGGAUUGGAUAUUGUAUAUCAUACAUGGAUUUGUUGGCCAGUCAAAUAUUUGCGUUCACGGUAAGCCCAUUUACGUUACUUUGAUAGCAAGAAGAUCGAAUCAAUUCGCAGGAACAAGAUUCUUGAAGCGUGGAGUAAAUGAUGAAGGGUUUGUUGCCAAUGAUGUUGAAACAGAGCAAAUUGCUCACGAUGCCUCGUUUAUAUCAUUGAAAAGUGGUAGAUACACUUCCUACACACAGCUACGAGGCUCAGCCCCUUUCUACUGGUCGCAAGACACCUCUCAAGGCAGAAUUGUUCCAAAACCGCAGAUUCUUGUCGAUCGCACAGACCCGUACUACGCUUCUGCUGCUCUUCAUUUAAAUAAGCUAAUGGCGAGGUUCGGUGCCCCAAUUAUCAUUUUGAAUCUAGUCAAGAAAAGAGAACGACGGCCCCAUGAGCAAAUACUGAGCGAAAACCUAAAGCAAAUAGUUGUGUAUGUGAACCAAUUCAUCCCACCUGAAUUUGCUGUACAGUACAUCGCCUGGGAUAUGGCAAGGGUUACAAAGAGCAAAGAGAUAAGUGUCAUCGAAAGGCUUGCUGAAAUAGCAGAGAAGAUUGUGAAAGAAACAGGAUUUUUUCAUAGUGGCCCACAGCUCUACUGCAACAAAAUCAGAAGUCACCCAAAAUUCAAUGGCAUGAAAGGGUACGGAUACAACAAGAAACAUCCUGGCCUGUGUCAGACGGGUAUACUUCGCGUCAAUUGUGUGGACUGUCUCGAUCGCACGAACACUGCUCAGUUCAUGGUUGGUAAAUGCGCUCUUGGUUUCCAGCUCUACGCUCUUGGUGUCACAGACAGUCCCCACAUCGAGUUUGAUUCAGAUGUAGUGAGGGUCUUGGAAGAACUCUAUGAAGCGCACGGAGAUACGUUAGCAGUUCAAUAUGGUGGUUCUCAGAUGGUUCACAGAAUUCGAACAUAUCGAAAAAUUUCUCCGUGGACGUCACAUUCAAGGGAUAUCAUGCAGACUGUAUCCAGAUAUUACAGCAAUGCCUUCACUGACAACGACAAGCAGCAGGCAAUCAAUUUGUUUCUCGGUGUAUUCAUACCUAAAGAAGGCACUUUGAAAUUAUGGGAUCUUCCAACAGACUAUUACUUACACCAUUGCGACACAAUGGAUCUUCAGGGUAAAGCAUUUAAGCCAAGUUACACGAAAUGGUGGAGUGACGAUGUUUUGCAAGCUCUUCCUUUCCCUUCCGAUGAAGUUGAAAAAGGAAAAUCGUUGAAGAAACAUGAAGUUGGCAAUGCUGACGAAGACGAAGAAACACUUGACAUCUUCUCUGAGUAUUAUCGACCGUUUGAACUCACCCAAUUUGAUACUGUGUAUCCGAGGGAAAUGCCAAAAUCGUGCAGGGAUUUUAUGCCUCCGUCAUCAACAGAUUGUAGUCCCUUUGUGGUCCGUGCAAGAGGCAGAGCAAUCGCGCCCGGUGUGCCACCACGAAAAGCAAUCGUUGGUUCUCCAUCAGCACCGGAUGAUAUUCCGAGUAGUGACGAAGAUUCGAGUACUGAUGAUGAUAAAACUAGAGUCAUUUCCCCAGCUAAAGAAGUUUCACUCAGUGAUACGCCAAAUGUUAGUUUCCAGGAGUUACUUCCAAGAAUGAUUGAAGUGUAUGGCAUGGAGCCUAAACGGCCUUGUAAAUACGAUAUUGAAUUAUAUGAAAGGUAUGCCAACCUUGCAUCUUCUUCAAUGCCAAAAAAAUUCCAAAGGAGAGUGAAAAAACCAUCCAUGCUGUGGAAGCCGAAUACUUCAUUUAUAACGGAGGACAGUAGCAAGAAAGUAGCAGUACCAACAGUAACAGAACAUUCCAAGUUGGUCUACAACGCUUACGUGAAAAUUGGUACCGAAGGUCCACCAAAGCCAUCCCCGGAAACGAUACAGAUUUAUUCUAAAUAUGUUGCUCAAAGGUACAUGUAAUUGGAAUUGGCCACAGUGGAACCUCCUUAAAAAAUGGUUACUAGUAAGAGUCGCCUACAAUCAACUACCGAGAGAUCUAGUCCAUAAAAUUUAUUUCUGACUAUAGAGGUGUUAUAGAAAUGCCAUAAUUUUUCGAAUUAGCUCCUAGGUAGCUUAUUAAUUUGAGACAUUUUCCGAUAGGGACUAAUUCUAGGGGGGGGCAUAUAAAGUAGGGUGCGGGCUUAUAAAAGUUACCUGAAUGUUUCUAUGAAAGUCGCACUUUUUGAAGCUUCAUUCGUUUUUGAUGAAGGAAGCAUCUGGAUGCAAUAUCGGCAGGAAAAAUAAUAUGAAAGAGUUUUUCAGUCCCUAAUUUUACCUUGAACUUGCUAUUGAUAUUGAAUAAAAUAAUAUAUUGCAAGAAUUGACAUAUGGGUUGGGGCUAAUUCCAUGUAGGUGCCAGGGUAGGAUGAGAGAUGAUUGGGGGAGGAUCCUUAAGGGUCCUUAAUAUUUUUUAUUGUAGUUAAUUUCCUACAUUUAAUUUUAUUAAUUAACUUUGUAGUCAAUUAAAUCAGACACACUGAAUUAACCAAAGACGUCGAAGGCAUCAUGUGUAGUAAUAUAGAAAGAUUAACUAUUUUACGGUCAAAGUUGAGAAUCGCCGGGAAAAAAAGACCAAUUUUUUUCGGAAAAAGUCCCCUGCGACGUGUGAAAGAGAUAUGGAUGGAUUAUUCAGUCCUUUGCCUCGAGAAAGUUUCUGUGAAAAGGCAUUUCUUAUCGUCGUUUUAUCUCAGGUACUUCCAAACAGGUAAAAAAUUAUUGAUGUCUUGACCGCAAUUGAGUGAAACCUGAAGCUUGCAAAAUUGGAGAAGAGAUACCUAGCUGUUAAUUCUUAAGUCUGUUUUUAUCAUCUAAAUCAACUUUUAAAGCAUUACAAGCAAAAAAGUUUAAUUAAUUUACCCUUUCAAGAUUAAAAAACUUGCACUGAACUGUUCUCAAUUUUUUCUAAAAUUAUUAGGCUAUAGGCUUAGCAAAAUGGGCCAUUUUUUAGAGAAAACAUUUUUUCCAAAAUGUGGAUGUUUAUCGUUGCAAAGUUUGCAAUUAAGGAAUUUGAUCAUGAUUUUUCGAUCAUAUGAGCAGCAGAAUACUUAAUUGAUUCUCAUUUUCAAUUGAGAUUUCUAAAGUGAAAUUAAUACUCAACUUCCAUAAUUUUGCCGGAUGGUAGUAAAUAACAUAUGAUAUUAUAAAAAACUUCCCUUAUUAAGUUUUUCUGGACCAGGCAAGAUUACAGUUAACAUUGUACAAUUUCACGAUGACAACAUUUCUGCCGAUUAUCAACAGAAUCACCUUAGAUGAUAUUUUAAUGCUUGGACUUCAAAUAGAAAAACCCCAAAAUUGAAUCAAUGACAUCAUUACCAACCUGUCUCUAGAGAAUCUUUAAUAAGGAACGACCAUCCAAAAAUCAUAUUGCAGUUUAGAAGCAAAAAGAUUUUUGGGAUGCCAAAGCAAAAUUUCCUGUGUUGAAGUAUUGAGAUCAAUAUAUGAACAAUUUUUU